RNAcentral lists this ribosomal RNA (253 nucleotides) under uncultured bacterium. RNAcentral's name for it is "partial 16S ribosomal RNA". It matches the Rfam family "Bacterial small subunit ribosomal RNA", at positions 524 to 776 of the family's 1533-position model. The record is from RNAcentral.
UACGUAGGUGGCAAGCGUUGUCCGGAUUUACUGGGCGUAAAGCGCACGUAGGCGGCGAUUCAAGUCAGAGGUGAAAGCCCGGGGCUCAACCCCGGAACUGCCUUUGAAACUAGAUCGCUAGAAUCUUGGAGAGGUCAGUGGAAUUCCGAGUGUAGAGGUGAAAUUCGUAGAUAUUCGGAAGAACACCAGUGGCGAAGGCGACUGACUGGACAAGUAUUGACGCUGAGGUGCGAAAGCGUGGGGAGCAAACAGG